UGUUGGUAUUAUAUUCCUGGCUCCUUUUUUCUUUUCAUGGCAAUGCAUUACUGGUCCCGUUUUUGUGAGGCUACUUUUAUCUUAAGAUGGACAGCAUUUUGUCGAGUGGAUGUAAAUAACAGCUAAAUCGUUGGUGAUUUUGACCUGGAGUUUAUGGCAACUAUGACGUUAGGCGACUGCAAUGGUUUCACUCGCAUGAACAAACGGAAAGUACCCAAGGAUAAUUUGUUAAAGAAGUAUUUUGGGUGUGCAGCUUCAGAAACUGAAUUCCUUACUGAAUGGUACAUGGUAGAGAGAUUUGGCUUCAUUUACUGUCAGUCAUUUCCUCUGCUUGUACUUUUCAGUUUAGCCUGAGCCUGAAGAGUAACAACUGAAUCAACAGAAGUAUGGAUCUGUACAAUGUUUCAAGGGUUUUCAUCUGUAGAGAUUUCAUUGGGUCCCUAACUCUUGAGAAGGCUGUGGUUGCUUCCCGUAACUCAAAGGUUACAGCCGGUUUUUCAGGACUUUGUGAUUGAGAG
This is a long non-coding RNA of Uloborus diversus, 518 nucleotides long. RefSeq lists it as uncharacterized. Lineage: Eukaryota; Metazoa; Arthropoda; Arachnida; Araneae; Uloboridae. The record is from RefSeq and is a predicted model, not a curated record. The transcript is spliced from 3 exons.